UACGUAGGGAGCAAGCGUUGUCCGGAUUCACUGGGUGUAAAGGGUGUGCAGGCGGACUGGUAAGUCAGGGGUGAAAUCUUACGGCUCAACCGUGAAAUUGCCUUUGAUACUGCUAGUCUUGAGUUCGGGAGAGGUUGAUGGAAUUCCAGGUGUAGCGGUGGAAUGCGUAGAUAUCUGGAAGAACACCAGUUGCGAAGGCGGUCAACUGGCCCGUAACUGACGCUCAGGCACGAAAGCGUGGGGAGCGAACAGG
This 253-nucleotide unclassified non-coding RNA is filed under the name uncultured bacterium. RNAcentral's name for it is "partial 16S ribosomal RNA". It matches the Rfam family "Bacterial small subunit ribosomal RNA", at positions 524 to 776 of the family's 1533-position model. RNAcentral also lists the same sequence under 1 other name. The record is from RNAcentral.